RNAcentral lists this ribosomal RNA (452 nucleotides) under uncultured bacterium. RNAcentral describes it as "bacterial SSU rRNA". It matches the Rfam family "Bacterial small subunit ribosomal RNA", at positions 330 to 793 of the family's 1533-position model. The record is from RNAcentral.
CCCAGACUCCUACGGGAGGCAGCAGUAGGGAAUUUUCGGCAAUGGGGGGAACCCUGACCGAGCAACGCCGCGUGAACGAAGAAGUUAUUCGUAAUGUAAAGUUCUUUUAUCAGGGAAGAAAGAGGAAUUUGACGGUACCUGAGGAAUAAGCUCCGGCUAACUACGUGCCAGCAGCCGCGGUAAUACGUAGGGAGCGAGCGUUAUCCGGAUUUAUUGGGUUUAAAGGGUGCGUAGGCGGGCAUUUAAGCCGGCGGUCAAAUGUCGGGGCUCAACCCCGGCCUGCCGUCGGAACUGGGUGCCUUGAGUGGGCGAGAAGUAUGCGGAAUGCGUGGUGUAGCGGUGAAAUGCAUAGAUAUCACGCAGAACCCCGAUUGCGAAGGCAGCAUACCGGCGCCCUACUGACGCUGAGGCACGAAAGUGCGGGUAUCGAACAGGAUUAGAUACCCCGGUAC